This 29-nucleotide non-coding RNA is filed under the name Rattus norvegicus (Norway rat). The record is from RNAcentral. Lineage: Eukaryota; Metazoa; Chordata; Mammalia; Rodentia; Muridae.
UGGUCUUUCUUUGAUUAUUUCCUCACUGU